ACGAACGCUGGCGGCGCGCCUAACACCUGCCAGUCGAACGGAGCUGAGAGAAGCUUGCUUUUCUUAGCUUAGUGGCGAACGGGUGAGUAACGCGUGAGUAACCUGCCCUGGAGUGGGGGACAACAGUUGGAAACGACUGCUAAUACCGCAUAAGCCCACGAUCCGGCAUCGGAUUGAGGGAAAAGGAUUUAUUCGCUUCAGGAUGGACUCGCGUCCAAUUAGCUAGUUGGUGAGGUAACGGCCCACCAAGGCGACGAUUGGUAGCCGGACUGAGAGGUUGAACGGCCACAUUGGGACUGAGACACGGCCCAGACUCCUACGGGAGGCAGCAGUGGGGGAUAUUGCACAAUGGGGGAAACCCUGAUGCAGCGACGCCGCGUGGAGGAAGAAGGUUUUCGGAUUGUAAACUCCUGUCGUUAGGGACGAUAAUGACGGUACCUAACAAGAAAGCACCGGCUAACUACGUG
This 467-nucleotide ribosomal RNA is filed under the name uncultured bacterium. RNAcentral's name for it is "partial 16S ribosomal RNA". It matches the Rfam family "Bacterial small subunit ribosomal RNA", at positions 29 to 507 of the family's 1533-position model. The record is from RNAcentral.